GGAAGUAAAAGUCGUAAACAAGGUCUCCGUAGGUGAACCUGCGGAGGGAUCAUUACAGAGUUCUCGCCCUCGCGGGUAGAUCUCCCACCCACUGUUAUCGUUACUGUGUUGCUUUGGCGGGCCGCCGGGCCCCGCUCGGCCGCCGGCUCCGGCUGGCGCGCGCCCGCCAGAGGCCCAGCAAACUCUGAAUGUUAGUGUCGUCUGAGUACUAUAUAAUAGUUAAAACUUUCAACAACGGAUCUCUUGGUUCUG
RNAcentral lists this unclassified non-coding RNA (252 nucleotides) under plant metagenome. Its description in RNAcentral is "partial contains small subunit ribosomal RNA, internal transcribed spacer 1, and 5.8S ribosomal RNA". The stretch from base 1 to 55 matches the Rfam family "Eukaryotic small subunit ribosomal RNA", at positions 1778 to 1831 of the family's 1831-position model. The record is from RNAcentral.